This 680-nucleotide long non-coding RNA is filed under the name Helianthus annuus (common sunflower). Its description in RNAcentral is "sRNA HanXRQr2_Chr14g0667441". The record is from RNAcentral. Lineage: Eukaryota; Viridiplantae; Streptophyta; Magnoliopsida; Asterales; Asteraceae.
GCGGGAAGUUCGAUUGUUUUUGGCAGAAAAACAAACGGACGUGUCGCGGAAGAAACGGAAGAGCGAGGAGAGGCUUAGGGAUUCGUUUGGCGACCGAAAGACAAAUCAUGUGGUUGUCGUAAUUGAUCAGCCAAAGGUUCCAUCUAGGUUGUGUAUCAACUUAGUUUCGGUGUUCAUUGAGUUGAAGGUUGUCGGAAUUGUUUACCCUUCUCUCGGUCAAAAGUUCUCUCGGAUAAGGUUCUCUCAAUUUUCAAGAUCGAUCAGUACGAACUUACUGAAAACUAGUGUUUGAUUUUGAAGGUUUCAACGAUGAUGUGCCAUCACCGUGUGUCGGUGUAAUCUUCGCGUGUCGGGUAGUAACUUGAACAAAAGAAGAAGACUUGCUCAAAGGCAGUGGUAAAAGAUCUCGAAUAGAUCUUGGUGAACCCUUUGAUCCAAUUCGGUUAAAGUCAGUUGACAAGUUAUCCCUUCUUCCAGUUGAUCGGGUUAUGUUAUUGGUCAAGUGCAAUGGUUCGAUCGAAGUGAAUUUGAAGGAUAGUUCGAGGGCUACUUGAAAAUCGUUUGAGGGUCUCUUGAAGUCCGGUCAAAAGGGUCACAUAUGUGGCAACCCUCACAAUCACAGGAAAUUAAUGGAUCUGGCGAAGUGUGCAAUCGUGUCAAGCUGCGUAGGGAAUAAUGAU